Molecule: ribosomal RNA, 492 nt
Filed under: uncultured bacterium
Lineage: Bacteria
Description: partial 16S ribosomal RNA
Rfam family: Bacterial small subunit ribosomal RNA
Source: RNAcentral
AGUGAACGCUGGCGGUAGGCCUAACACAUGCAAGUCGAACGGCAGCACAGUAAGAGCUUGCUCUUACGGGUGGCGAGUGGCGGACGGGUGAGGAAUACAUCGGAAUCUACUUUUUCGUGGGGGAUAACGUAGGGAAACUUCCGCUAAUACCGCAUACGACCUACGGGUGAAAGCAGGGGAUCUUCGGACCUUGCGCGAUUGAAUGAGCCGAUGUCGGAUUAGCCAGUUGGCGGGGUAAAGGCCCACCAAGGCGACGAUCCGUAGCUGGUCUGAGAGGAUGAUCAGCCACACUGGAACUGAGACACGGUCCAGACUCCUACGGGAGGCAGCAGUGGGGAAUAUUGGACAAUGGGCGCAAGCCUGAUCCAGCCAUACCGCGUGGGUGAAGAAGGCCUUCGGGUUGUAAAGCCCUUUUGUUGGGAAAGAAAAGCAGCAGGUUAAUACCCCGCUGUUCUGACGGUACCCAAAGAAUAAGCACCGGCUAACUUCGUG